Molecule: long non-coding RNA, 641 nt
Organism: Vicia villosa (hairy vetch)
Lineage: Eukaryota; Viridiplantae; Streptophyta; Magnoliopsida; Fabales; Fabaceae
Exons: 3
Source: RefSeq, a predicted model, not a curated record
GGUAUGCUUUAAAACACUUGAAGUUGGAUAAAUGAAAGAAAUACUGAGUAUCGCUUUCCUUGCAGACAGUUCCUUUAAAGGAGAAUCUACUUCGCCCCCACCUAGUGAACAUCGUAAAAGUAAUCAUCACUCCGGGCCAGGUUCACAUACUAAAACACAAUGUUCUACUUCUGAUGGCUAUAAAGGAGAAUUUGUGGGAGCCAUUGUAGAAAUUUUUUUAGACUUAGUGUUGGCGUGUUCUAUUCUGCUAGUUGCUCUUGUUUUUGUAUCUGAAAAAUAAAAGGGAAGGAAAAAGGUCCAAGAACUUAUAAUGGAAGCCUUCCUCCUGGAGGAAUCGUUAACGUAACUCCUCAGAUGCAGGAGCAAAGGGUGAAAAGUGCUUAUGUUAUUACAGAUCUUAAACCCCGUCCUCCUUCAGAAAACGUGACAAUGGAUAGGAUGCCUGCAAAAAGUGGAUCUGUAAGGCAGAUGAGGUCUCCAAUAACUUCCCUGUCGUACACGGUUACUUCCCUCUAGAGUGCAACUAAUAGCUUCAGCCAAGAGUUUAUUAUCCGUGAAGGUUCUCUUGGUCGAGUUUACCGGGCUGAAUUUCCAAAUGGGAAGGUAACCUUUUGAUUUUGCAUCUGUUAUCACAUUCAUAC